GGUUGUGUGACGCCGAGUGCAGCUUCCGUAGUUCGAGACGAGUGGCGAGCCACACUGAAGAUGUUUGUUCAGCAAUGACGACAAGGCGGAUUUUUGUUCUUCAACGUUCACGGCCUGGUAGACGAAGCCUUCGAAUUGGUGAGCGCAUGCUUUUCUCUAUAGCAGUGACCGUCUGGGUUUUCCCAUUCGGCUCUGCAACAACGGGGCUCAGUUAAGGGAGUGUCAGCGAAACGCAAAAGUUGUUUCGCUGUAGCUAAGCUAGACAGAUGAAGAUGGCAAGCUUCAAGCGGAGCUACGCGCCUUUGUCUUCGAGUAGCUUUAAGUUAGGCUUAACUGAGCCCACAUUUCGUUCGUCACAGUCAGCAACGGUUCGUGUAGUUGCUGACGCAGUUGCGCUCUGACGAACGGAAUGAGUUUUCUUGCGUCAACUGAAGAGGAACUCCGCGUUUCAGUUCGUAAGCCAAAUGGGUGUUACGGCAAAGGUAAGCACGAACUUCUGUAUCCACCUUCGAUUCCAAUUCCGUCGUGGUUAGGGUUAGCUUACGGUCGCGUUGUUAGGCGUGUAAUUCGUCGAGCACAUUUCUGCGUUUUCUUCAACGUUUUUACUUUCUGGUUGUGACUCGGUUACUUCUGAAAAUAAAGUGCGUACUUCGUCGUGUGUCCUUUUUCUCGCCGUCCCUUUGACGCAAACAUUCACUAGCUUACCGUUGAGGCAGUGACACUGCGACCACCCCAGUUGAUUUUCUUGCUGUGUCAUAUAUCUUGUCUUGCUCUGUGUAUAUUUGAUUCUUGCAAUAAAUGCUUGCUUCCUUAUUUCGGCUUUCUUCCUUCAUCAAUCCCCGGUACGCAAACAUGCACUAGCUUACUGGUUGAGGCAGGUAAAUUUUGAAUCCCCCGUUUGCCUUCCAGACGCUCCAAUCAUCUGCUCUACUACUGUCUUUAUCCAAGUGGAUGCAAGCACGUCCAGCAAUGAGGAGCACCACCUCGUGAAGUAUAUUGUGUUUCGUAUCGAUAUUUGCUAAUUUUUUGCUUCUAUCUGCAGGCUUCGUCCCUGGGGGUAAGAACACAUUCAAGAACCAUGGAGUCCCGUUGUUUGCUGUUCAUUCCCGAAAAGGAUGCCAGGUAUAGCUGGUGAAGAUGCAUCAUACAAGCCUUCAUGUCGUGUUGUCCUGAUCUUCCUCAAGCCCAAGGUUUUAUGUAUGGUGUUGCUUUUCAUUGUUGCGAAAUAAAUAUGAUCGAAAUUCUC
Long non-coding RNA from Ornithodoros turicata, 1246 nucleotides. RefSeq lists it as uncharacterized. The record is from RefSeq and is a predicted model, not a curated record. The transcript is spliced from 2 exons. NCBI's taxonomy places the organism in Eukaryota, Metazoa, Arthropoda, Arachnida, Ixodida, Argasidae.